RNAcentral lists this unclassified non-coding RNA (580 nucleotides) under Hevea brasiliensis (rubber tree). The record is from RNAcentral. Lineage: Eukaryota; Viridiplantae; Streptophyta; Magnoliopsida; Malpighiales; Euphorbiaceae.
GUGGUGAAGGGUUGCCUUCUUACGGGUUGUCCUAUUAUGACCGUAAGUUUCAAGGCUGAAGAGAAGCGUAUCAUCAGGGGUUAAUAAGAGCUCUGAACAGAAACCAAGUGCGUAUAGGGAUUUAUCAUGAAGAUGUCUACAAAUGGUAUGGAGGCGGGAGGAGUUUGAGGAGUGCCAAGCACCACUCUCAUUAAUAGAGGACAAAAACUUUUGCAAAUUGAAUUGACCAAGCAACGUGCCAAACCAAUUUUGAUUGAAAGUGGGAAUAGCGAGGACGCUUUGGAGAGAGAAACCAUGUCCUCCAUGUGGAGGCGUGGGAGGGGAAUAGGAAGGGAUAAAGGGUGAGGACAUGAAACGUUGGAAGAAAUGGAUCUGCUUGGGCCUGGACAAUUUUGUGCCUCUCGAAAGUCCGAGUGGAAGCGGGUCUCCAGGCACCGCCCGAGCUUCUCCUUCCAGAGUUAUGGGUGUGGACAUGUCCAGCUCCCAAAAGCCUCCGUCCAUUGCCCAUCUCAGCUUCUUCAUUAUCGUCUUCAAUUUCUCUCUAGUCUUUUGUGGUCACAACCCAGUACUGAGUAAAGAG